CUACGGGUCGCACCAGUCGAGAAUCUUCCGCAAUGGACGAAAGUCUGACGGAGCGACGCCGCGUGCGGGAUGAAGGCCUUCGGGUUGUAAACCGCUGUCAGUGGGGAGGAAAUGCAUCAGGGUUCUCCCUGGUGUUUGACCGAUCCGCAGAGGAAGCGCAGGCUAAGUUCGUGCCAGCAGCCGCGGUAACACGAACUGCGCGAACGUUAUUCGGAAUCACUGGGCUUAAAGAGUUCGUAGGCGGCCUUUCAAGUCGGGUGUGAAAUCCCUCGGCUCAACCGAGGAAUUGCGCCUGAGACUGUUGGGCUUGAGGGGGAUAGGGGUGAGCGGAACUGAUGGUGGAGCGGUGAAAUGCGUUGAUAUCAUCAGGAACACCGGUGGCGAAGGCGGCUCACUGGAUCUCUUCUGACGCUGAGGAACGAAAGCUAGGGGAGCGAACGGGAUUAGAUACCCCCGUAGUC
RNAcentral lists this ribosomal RNA (461 nucleotides) under uncultured bacterium. Its description in RNAcentral is "partial 16S ribosomal RNA". It matches the Rfam family "Bacterial small subunit ribosomal RNA", at positions 339 to 795 of the family's 1533-position model. The record is from RNAcentral.